This 253-nucleotide ribosomal RNA is filed under the name uncultured bacterium. Its description in RNAcentral is "partial 16S ribosomal RNA". It matches the Rfam family "Bacterial small subunit ribosomal RNA", at positions 524 to 776 of the family's 1533-position model. The record is from RNAcentral.
CACGUAGGGACCAAGCGUUGUCCGGAUUCAUUGGGCGUAAAGAGCUCGUAGGCGGUUCGAUAAGUCGGGUGUGAAACCUCCAGGCUCAACCUGGAGACGCCACCCGAUACUGCCUGGCUGGAGUCCCGGAGAGGAUGGCGGAAUUUCCGGUGUAGAGGUGAAAUUCGUAGAUAUCGGAAGGAACACCAGUGACGAAGGCGGCCAUCUGGACGGUGACUGACGCUGAGACGCGAAAGCGUGGGGAGCAAACAGG